This is a long non-coding RNA of Acanthopagrus latus (yellowfin seabream), 1553 nucleotides long. RefSeq lists it as uncharacterized. The record is from RefSeq and is a predicted model, not a curated record. NCBI's taxonomy places the organism in Eukaryota, Metazoa, Chordata, Actinopteri, Spariformes, Sparidae. The transcript is spliced from 3 exons.
GGAGACAAAGGCAGAAAUAUGGAGAAAAAAAAAACUAAAACAUAAGAACAGAGACACCACCGCAGCACCACUUCAAUAUAACGGAUGGGACGUGACACCGCUCCACAGCCCUGAUAUGAUUUAAGCUCCUCUGCUGAAGCCCGCUUGCAAAGGUAAAAGACAGGAUGAAGCGAGAGCCGGGAGAAGAAAGUGAGGAGGGAUAACGCAAACAGAGGAGAAAGCAAAGGGGAAGUGCAAGAGCCGGGGCGGAAGAUAAAAGCGAGGCCAGGUAAAGGGAAGAACUAACUGACAUGAGGAAUCUCUUACUCGUGAGCACAACCAACUUUAAAACAAAUAGCUGGAGAGAAGCGCUCGCUGCGUUUCUUGACUGGGACUCUGUGGCGGCGGUGAAAAGAGCCUGUAACGCUGUACGUUUUUGAAGCCUCUCCCCGGAGGUGUCUUUGAAGUGUGGCAAUGGGAGCGGGAGGAGAUUGGAGCGGAUGGGCCUCAGACUGAAAACACGUGUGAUGAGUUCACUCAUUCAUGUUUUCCUCAAGUGCUACAGCCCGUCUUUGUAGCGGUGAAGCCCGUUAAAUAGCGCUGGGACGGGUUGAACUGGGUUCAGCCUGUUUAGCCUCUUCAUGUUUUACCUUUCAUGCGAGCACUGUUUAAAGCAUACCAGAUAUACCAGACCAGGUUUCUGCAGUGCUACUGCUGCAGCUCUGUAUGUCGCUGUCGAUCACCGACUUAAGCUCCAGCAGGUAUGUUGACAUUUUUUGUCUUUGAGUGAAACAUUGACAACUAUUGCAUAGUAUUCCAUAAAUGUUGGGACAGAUAUGGAGCUCACUGGAUGUAUUCUAAUUAUUUUGGUGAAUUCCAGACUGUCCUCUGAAGCCAGUGUGCACGGUGGCUGUUACAUCUCUAUUUCACAUGAAACUGCUGAGUUGUCGCGCUAGCACCGAUGACAGAACUGGUAACCAUUUAAAACGGCGCUGCUCUCUGUGCAGCGAGUGAAGAAAGUGGCUUAAUUGGUUAGCAGCAUGAAAUGACACUGCUGAGCCCUCUGAGGCUCUCUUCACAGGGGCUUUUCUCCAGUCAGUCAGCGCGGCCACCAUCCCCCCCCCCUCCGGGUUUCAAAGGAGAGGGUCUUGGGAUUUGGACCACCUGCGUGGGCCGGUGCCUGCAGUUUCCAAGAGACAUACUUCUGGUGCAUCGGGGGGUCGUGGCCCCGCUUUAGUGGAACAUCUGGUGUGAAUGUGCCACACACGUGUUCCCUCGCGUGGAUGGUGUCAGCGCGUCGACAGGGACCUCAGCGUCACUUUGUGGGGCUGCUUUGUCAGUAAAUUCUACUAAGAAGGCCGUUCCGAGUGAAGGUUUAGUGUCUCACUGUGCAAUCAGCAGCACAGCGUGUAAAAAAAAAAAAAAAAAAAAAAAAAUCCCUUAAUUAACUGGUCUUUCUAACAAGUGAGGACAAUUUUUACAUUCUAAUUAGGUCAGCUGGUGGCUCCCAGUUGUAACCCAUCCCUCCUUUAUUGUUCCUACCUGAUAUACUGUAUCUUCAUUUCCCCUGUCUC